RNAcentral lists this ribosomal RNA (495 nucleotides) under uncultured bacterium. RNAcentral's name for it is "partial 16S ribosomal RNA". It matches the Rfam family "Bacterial small subunit ribosomal RNA", at positions 30 to 523 of the family's 1533-position model. The record is from RNAcentral.
AUUGAACGCUGGCGGCAGGCCUAACACAUGCAAGUCGAGCGCGAAAGUCUUCGGAUGAGUAAAGCGGCGGACGGGUGAGUAAUGCAUGGGAAUCUGCCUGGUAGUGGGGGACAACGUUUCGAAAGAGACGCUAAUACCGCAUACGCCCUACGAGGGAAAGGGGGGGAUCUUCGGACCUCUCGCUACCAGACGAGCCCAUGUCAGAUUAGCUAGUUGGUAGGGUAAAGGCCUACCAAGGCGACGAUCUGUAACUGGUCUGAGAGGAUGAUCAGUCACACUGGAACUGAGACACGGUUCAGACUCCUACGGGAGGCAGCAGUGGGGAAUAUUGGACAAUGGGGGCAACCCUGAUCCAGCCAUGCCGCGUGUGUGAAGAAGGCCCUAGGGUUGUAAAGCACUUUCAGUGGGGAGAAAGGUAAUUCACCUAAUACGUGAGUUAAUUGAUGCUACCCACAGAAGAAGCACUGGCUAACUCCGUGCCAGCCGCCGCCGUAA